Molecule: long non-coding RNA, 447 nt
Organism: Telopea speciosissima
Lineage: Eukaryota; Viridiplantae; Streptophyta; Magnoliopsida; Proteales; Proteaceae
Exons: 3
Source: RefSeq, a predicted model, not a curated record
UUAAACGAUGAGAAGUUGGAGGUGUUUAGGAUGUGUGAGCAGGAGAAGACAGACAAACUAUUGUCCAAAUACAGGGCUUUCUGCGGCAAGGUGAAAACGGAAGUUCUAUAACUGGAGAAAUCAGAAGAACCAAUUCACAAAGCUAUUGUUGGAUUGAUCUCAAGCCAUCAGUUGACCAAAUUGGUUAUGGGGAUCACAAUCCUAAAACCGUCCUCGUGGUAAUGAACAAUACCGUGACUUGUUGAAGUCGAAAAUCAAAGGGGCCAUCAGUGGAUCGUUCUACAUACACAGACACAAACCCAGUUUCUGUGAACUGUAUAUAAUCUGCGGAGGGAAAUUGGUAUUUCUUAGGGAAGAAAAUGAUGAACAGUACAUGGAAGACGAAAUGGGAGUAAUGGUUCCUCAGAUGAAAGAGAAAGGAGGAAGCAUGAAAGGUUGGUUUGGUAA